This is a non-coding RNA of Pelobates cultripes (western spadefoot toad), 905 nucleotides long. Lineage: Eukaryota; Metazoa; Chordata; Amphibia; Anura; Pelobatidae. The record is from the annotation of a GenBank genome assembly.
UGCCUUCAAGGGCACCUACCAGGUAUAGAAGCUAACUGCACGUGAUGGAAAGAGGAGAGAGGAAACAGAAGUUGUCUAUGGUAAGUAACUGUGCCUUCAAAAACACCUCUCUACAAGAUAUAUUAAAUUAUAAAACUGGCUGGUUAGCGUUUGGAUAACAGAAUCCUUUUGAUGUCUUAGUUAAGUAUCAAUGUACUAUGAGCGUUGCAGCCAUAAAUAAUAACAGCGGCUAAAUGGUUAAGUUACAGCCAUAAAUAGUAUCAGCGGCUAAAUGGUUAAGUUACAGCCAUAAAUAGUAUCAGCGGCUAAAUGGUUAAGUUACAGCCAUAAGUGGUAUCAACGGCUAAAUUGUUAAUUCGCCUCCCGCUACACCCAAUAUCUAAGAAAUUAUAAACCAAAGUAUAAGCUUUUAAAUAAUAAAUAAUUCCUGCAAUUGCAGAGUAUUGAGGUAUUUGGAGGGAUCUGAGAAAAACCCAGACGCGCGUUUCGCCGGUAAGGCGGCUUUUCAAGGGGAUCUUGAAAAAGACCCUUUAGGGGUCGAAACGUCGAUUUAUUUGGAGAUUUUUUUGCACAUGUAAAUUUGCAUGUAAAAUAAAAAUAAGCACAUUUGAAGACCUGUGAGUGCACCUUUUGUUCAUAUUUUUUGUAUGUAUAACGCCAAGGUUUGCACCCAGGCAAGAUUUAGCUGAGAUACUCAGUAAAGGGUGAGUGCCAAGCUCUAUCUCUUUUUAUAUAUAUAUACAUACAAUACACAUGAUCCACCGCACUCACCUAUCCACUAAACAGCAACUUCAAUGUUGAAAGAUUGUAUUUGUUUUUUUUAAAACACCUAAUCUAGGCAAAAAUAAUGGGGGUUUAGUUACAUUAUAUGAUCAUACAGUGCAUAAGCCUGCCACAACGUCAAU